Molecule: long non-coding RNA, 497 nt
Filed under: Crocodylus porosus (Australian saltwater crocodile)
Lineage: Eukaryota; Metazoa; Chordata; Crocodylia; Crocodylidae
Description: lncRNA (ENSCPRG00005001175.1)
Source: RNAcentral
UGCCAGGAAGAGUGCUCUUUUGGUGGCGCCUCUAAAUACAAUAUGUAGAUGCAGCAUCAAUGUGGAAGACAUAGGAAAACAUGGAGGCUGUUUUGAGCUCUGACCUGCACUCGGUUCCCUGGCUUCAGUUGGAAGUUUCUCUUUCCAUUGCUCCUAUUUUAAAGGAAACAGAAGGAAGUAUCUCCACGCAGCUGCCAUCUGAGGCCAAUUGCUGAUGCUGGACGGGCUCCCGAGACCUAGCAUUCAGGCUGCACAUCGCUGCUCUGAUCGCUAGGGACUCGUGGGUGAAGUCUUCUCCAGCUCCUCCACGUUCCUGUGUAGGAUCCAGAAAUUAUGGAGUCCAUCUGAAUCCCCCGGAGAACGAUGCGACCAGGUUCUGCUUAAGGAGCAAUUGCUGGCUGGUGUUGAUUCCUUUCACCUUGAGUUCUGCGUUCCAGCAACGACCCCAAAUUCAAAGCAAAGCUCUACGGCUUAGGCGUUCAUACUCCGCUAUAUGA